ACGAACGCUGGCGGCGUGCUAAACACAUGCAAGUCGAACGGAAAGGCCCUGCUUUUGUGGGGUGCUCGAGUGGCGAACGGGUGAGUAACACGUGAGUAACCUGCCCUUGACUUUGGGAUAACUUCAGGAAACUGGGGCUAAUACCGGAUAGGAGCUCCUGCUGCAUGGUGGGGGUUGGAAAGUUUCGGCGGUUGGGGAUGGACUCGCGGCUUAUCAGCUUGUUGGUGGGGUAGUGGCUUACCAAGGCUUUGACGGGUAGCCGGCCUGAGAGGGUGACCGGCCACAUUGGGACUGAGAUACGGCCCAGACUCCUACGGGAGGCAGCAGUGGGGAAUAUUGCACAAUGGGCGGAAGCCUGAUGCAGCAACGCCGCGUGCGGGAUGACGGCCUUCGGGUUGUAAACCGCUUUCGCCUGUGACGAAGCGUGAGUGACGGUAAUGGGUAAAGAAGCACCGGCUAACUACGUG
This 467-nucleotide ribosomal RNA is filed under the name uncultured bacterium. RNAcentral describes it as "partial 16S ribosomal RNA". It matches the Rfam family "Bacterial small subunit ribosomal RNA", at positions 29 to 507 of the family's 1533-position model. The record is from RNAcentral.